RNAcentral lists this long non-coding RNA (1133 nucleotides) under Sinocyclocheilus anshuiensis. Its description in RNAcentral is "lncRNA (ENSSANG00000025763.1)". Lineage: Eukaryota; Metazoa; Chordata; Actinopteri; Cypriniformes; Cyprinidae. The record is from RNAcentral.
AUUUUCUCAUUGGAUUCACUGUCAUCAGCUUAUGCUACAGCUCUGGCUGAGCAACUUCAGCUGGAGGAAUGUGAUUCCAGUGACGCUGAGAGUGAAGACAGUCAGAUGUCUCAAGAUUCUCUUGGUAUGGAGAGCAGCGGGAAACAUGUGACUGCCAGGCCAGUGCUGAGGUUUGAAAAAGUUCCAAGCCACUUAACCACCCCUACAGUACCAGCUUCAUGCAGCUCUCAGGCAAUCGGCAAUAAAGAGGAGAUUAGAAUAUCCAAAGAUGUACCUGCAGAGGUUUUCUGGAGCCUUAAUGGUAGUCAGAAGUCGAAAACUGAGAACGGCCCAAGCAUGGCUAAAGUGCCUUCACACUUUUCUUGUCUAGCAUCUGAAUCUAAACCCUGUAGCCGUGCAAGUAUCAGAGAGACAGAGAAUCCACUUGCUCUUACUGAUGCUUGGUCAUCUACUGAUGCAGCAGACAGUCCCAGAAUCAUCAUGGCUUCGGGACACUUGCUCAAACAGGAUCCACACACACUAAUAGAGAGCAGGAGAUGCCAAAGCUCUACUAGUCUGGAUCUGUCAGACAACAUGAAUGUCUCAGAAAGCCAGAGCUCACAUCGUUCUGACUCCACUCAGGAUGAAAAUACAACACUUGAAGAACAAAACAGCACAUCCUUUGAAAAUACCCUGUUGUUAGAGAGUGAUCUCAGUUUUAUCCCAGGGCAGGAGAUGGAUUUUAAGGAACAGACUACCAGUGCAGAACCAUGUACAACUCAGACAGUCUGUGAUUCCACAGAUACCAGUUCAGAUGGGGUAGCACAUCCAAAUAAACCAACCACUGAAAAUGAACCACUGAAUCCCACUGUGACUAAAGCAUUGCUGAUCAACUCUUGUUCCAAAGAUGGUGAGAUCUCAACAAGUACUACUUGCUUCCAAGUUAACUCUAGUAGGGAAGAUUCACAUGUUAGAGAGGACCCAUCAUCAUAUCCAAUACACCCUGCAGAUUGUUCUCUGAAGUCAAACUUAAACCUGACAAUGGGCUAUCAGGUUUCAACAUGCGACAACGCAGGAGAUCCAGAGGUUAAGAACUCUAAAGCAGUGCAGAUUAUAAAUGAAUCGCACAGUACUCCUAGCACUGACAAUGGCAC